UAUCCGGAUUUACUGGGUGUAAAGGGAGCGUAGACGGCACGGCAAGCCAGAUGUGAAAGCCCGGGGCUCAACCCCGGGACUGCAUUUGGAACUGCUGAGCUAGAGUGUCGGAGAGGCAAGUGGAAUUCCUAGUGUAGCGGUGAAAUGCGUAGAUAUGAGGAGGAACACCAGUGGCGAAGGCGGCUUGCUGGACGAUGACUGACGUUGAGGCUCGAAAGCGUGGGGAGCAAACGAGGAU
RNAcentral lists this ribosomal RNA (238 nucleotides) under uncultured bacterium. RNAcentral's name for it is "partial 16S ribosomal RNA". It matches the Rfam family "Bacterial small subunit ribosomal RNA", at positions 542 to 779 of the family's 1533-position model. The record is from RNAcentral.